UCUGGAGGUCUGCACAUGAGGAUCAAUUCCUGAUCAGCAAGCAUCACGACUCCAGGAAACGCUGGGAACCAUAUCCUCAGCACUAAUGAAACAUCACAAACCGUGCAGAAUCCAGCAAGGAGCAACCGCCACAUGUUCCUGAAUGAUUUGUAUGGAGUAUAUUUGGAAUUUUGUUCAAAUUGAAAAAUAAAAUUGCAAAAAUCAUCCACCGGCUUUCGAUGACUCGAUCAAUGAGAAUAAUGAUGUAAUUUUGAGGAAGGCUCGCGAUGGACUGAUGGUAACGACAAACACCGUGAAGACAAGUCGAAUCCCUCUGGGGCCUGAGGUGUUCCUGGUGGAGGGAAGAGAACCGGAGGAAAACCAUCCGGUUUUGGAAUUGCGAAACAAACGGGAACAUUCUGGGCGGAGGAAGUCUAAACAGAAGGUCAAAAAACCGGUACAAUUCCGGCAUUUCACCAAUAAUA
Molecule: long non-coding RNA, 464 nt
Organism: Fopius arisanus
Lineage: Eukaryota; Metazoa; Arthropoda; Insecta; Hymenoptera; Braconidae
Exons: 3
Source: RefSeq, a predicted model, not a curated record